Molecule: unclassified non-coding RNA, 296 nt
Organism: Erinaceus europaeus (western European hedgehog)
Lineage: Eukaryota; Metazoa; Chordata; Mammalia; Eulipotyphla; Erinaceidae
Gene: 7SK
Rfam family: 7SK RNA
About the family: 7SK was discovered as an abundant small nuclear RNA in the mid-70s but a possible function has only recently been suggested. Two independent studies have found that 7SK RNA binds the CDK9/cyclin T complex (known as elongation factor P-TEFb). P-TEFb activates transcription by phosphorylating the C-terminal domain of RNA polymerase II.
Source: Ensembl
GAAUAUGAGAGCGAUCUGGCUGCUAAAUCUGUCACCCCAUUGAUCACGAGGAUUGUUUUGGCUGAUCUGGCUGUCUAGGAGGGAGGCCCCUCCCACCCUCACUGAUCCAUGUGUGUCCCUCCCAAACAGAAGACAUUCCUCUGAAUAGAGAUAGACUGGUCUUUGGUCCAGGGUAUACGAGUAGCUGUGUUCCUCUGCUAGAAUCUCCAAACAAGCUCUCAAGGUCCAAAUGAUGUCAAGUAGGUCACAUUCACAAAAAUCUGCUAGUUGGGAUUUAAAAUAUCUCCUAACACAGU